This 253-nucleotide ribosomal RNA is filed under the name uncultured bacterium. Its description in RNAcentral is "partial 16S ribosomal RNA". It matches the Rfam family "Bacterial small subunit ribosomal RNA", at positions 524 to 776 of the family's 1533-position model. The record is from RNAcentral.
UACGUAGGGGGCAAGCGUUGUCCGGAAUUAUUGGGCGUAAAGAGCUCGUAGGCGGCUUGUCGCGUCGGCUGUGAAAACCUGGGGCUCAACCCUGGGCCUGCAGCCGAUACGGGCAAGCUAGAAUUCGGUAGGGGAGACUGGAAUUCCUGGUGUAGCGGUGAAAUGCGCAGAUAUCAGGAGGAACACCGGUGGCGAAGGCGGGUCUCUGGGCCGAUAUUGACGCUGAGGAGCGAAAGCGUGGGGAGCGAACAGG